UUCGUUCCAAGUCCAAUCUUGAAUAUGGCUUUAGCAUGGCCCAGAGAGGGUGGUAAACUCCAUCUAAGGCUAAAUACUGGCACGAGUCCGAUAGCGAACAAGUACCGUGAGGGAAAGUUGAAAAGUACUCUGAAGAGAGAGUUAACAGUGCGUGAAACCGCUUAGAGGCAAACGGGUGUAGUCAAGCUGCAAGCCCAUUGAAAUAGGGGGGCCAGAAUGGCGUGAGUCUGAGCACAAACGGGCUGUCGUUGGGGUGCGUCCACACGGGCGUGUUCGGGUAGCAAUACCUGGAUCUGUGAAGUGGCAUCCGCCGCUGCAGGCCUCGGCGUCAGUUGCUCUGCUGGCCCUCUCACUUUCUUUGUGGCGUAUGUCACGACCGUCGUUGCUGUCGGUCUGCUCCGUCUGAACCGUGUCGCGAGUAGUCUUGUGCUUCUUGUGGCAUGGGGGCAGGUAGCUGGGCGUCUUUGCUUGCAUUGGCGUGCAGUGUUAUCGCUGGGCGGAGUGGUACCUGUAACUGUGCAGUGCGGCGGGGCUGGCGGUGCAUUGGUUUCUAGGCGUGCUAAAACAUGCUGGCUUAGCGUUAGU
This 585-nucleotide ribosomal RNA is filed under the name Choricotyle sp. n. EMF-2018. RNAcentral describes it as "eukaryotic LSU rRNA". It matches the Rfam family "Eukaryotic large subunit ribosomal RNA", at positions 242 to 617 of the family's 3401-position model. The record is from RNAcentral. Lineage: Eukaryota; Metazoa; Platyhelminthes; Monogenea; Mazocraeidea; Diclidophoridae.